AUGGCAAGCGCCUACCUCUCAAGCUUCCAGGCUGCCCCCACCGCCACCGGCGGCGGCGCCGGCGCGUCACCGAGGCCGAGGCCAAGAGCGGUGACACGCCACGCCUCCGAGCCGUCGGGCAGGCGAUCAGUUUGCCUCCGCCUCGGCAUCAGCCUCGCCACCGCCGCCGUGCUCCACACAGCGCCCGCCCACGCCACCGACGAGGACCCGGAGCCGGAGCCGGCCAACAACGGCUGGUGGCUCACCGAGUUCCCCUUGCCGGUGCCCAAGAUCCGCAACAAGGAGAUCAAUAAUGGCGAGUCGGGGACGCGGUCCUUCGUGAAGAACGGCAUCUACAUGGCCGACAUCGGGCCGAGCUUCGCGGCGCACGCCUACCAGAUACGCAGCUCCGCCUUCGACCUGCUGGCGCUGGAGGACCUGCUCGGCAAGGAGGCCUCCAACUACGUCAACAAGUACCUCCGCCUCAAGGCCACCUUCAUCUACUACGACUUCGACAAGCUCAUCACCGCCGCCGACCCCGACGCCAGGCCGCCGCUCCUCGGCCUGGCCAACCGCCUCUUCGACAGCUUCGAGAGGCUGCAGGCCGCCGUCACCACCAAGGACGACGCCGACAUCGGGUCCUGCUAUGCUGAUACCAAGCUCAUCCUGCAGGAAGUCAUGACAAGAAUGGCCUAG
This 675-nucleotide ribosomal RNA is filed under the name Triticum aestivum (bread wheat). RNAcentral's name for it is "partial small subunit ribosomal RNA". The record is from RNAcentral. Lineage: Eukaryota; Viridiplantae; Streptophyta; Magnoliopsida; Poales; Poaceae.